GCAAGGUGCAUCUUGGAAACGAUUGUGCAGAUCAGUUUCGGAAUUAAGCAGUGGCACCUUAUCAAUGAAAAUAUCCUAAGCUAGAACUAAUGAUGGAGCAAGCUAAAGGCUUCUGGUCUAAUAGUACCAACUAGUAUGGCGAAUGGGAGAGACCUCCACCCCGUCAUGAAUUGUGGAUAUGAAUGUACAAAUCUGUGAUUACUGGAUUUGAUACUCAGAACUGUUCCUGUUAGAAAGUGAAUCGAGGCUGAUGCAUAAUGCAAGAGAAAUAGGGUAAAGUUGCUGAAGCCGCAGACAUUCUCCAAGAACGUCUGUUCAAGACCAGUGAUUCUAUGGAAAAGCUAGAAAAUUGAACAGGUUGAGCUUAUCCUGAAACCAAUGAGAUUGUUUCUUCUUCAUCUGCACUCAGAUCAUUUUGAAGAAGAUAAGUGUCAGAUUUGUUUUUAGAGAAACAUGUGCUAAGUCUUAAAGUGAAAUUUUUUCAUGUAGGAAUACUUUAACGUUGUUCCAUUUGUCUUAUUAAGCGUGGGAAGGUGGAGAGGAAAUGUUGGUAAAUUAUUCAUCAUUGUGUAGAUUCCUGAUAGAUGUUGACAAGAACAGGUAUUACAUCUCUACAUUUGUUAACAUAAUCAAGCCAUGUAUAACAUAACAGUGAUCCAAGAGAAAGAGCUUCUGCAAUUGUUGGUGGUUGUCGAGCUGAUGUUUCGCCGACACGCUGUGUCAAUAGUACAAACUAGUAUGGCGAAGGGAGAGACCUUCCUCCCGACAAUGAUAUCAUUAACAUAGUUAAUGAGGAUGGCGAGAAACGGUGGAAAGUUACCGAAUACGUCUUGUAUAGAAUGUCCGAAUCAUGGCCAAACACUACAGCCUUGUGACGAUCAAUGGAUGGUUGCACACUUUGACUAUUUUGUUGAGGGAAGAGAAGAAUUUCAAUCCAAUUUAAUGUGCAGAAGGACGGACGUACUCUGUUGGGUGGUAGAGAAGAAUCGCGAUGCUAUUCGAUAACACGAAUGAGGCGGAUGAACACUUUGUAAACCUGGAUUAACUAUGCAAAUUAGAUUGCAUCACAUCUGGAAUUUAGCUGCGUGUAAUGGGUUCAACAUAUCAGCAGAAAUAGACCAGAAUAAGUCAUUCAAUGAACUGGGCAUUGGAAUGUGGGAGAAUGAGAUAUAUUGCUAGGAAUUUGAAGAAAUGGUAAGUGAAGGAGAAAUGAUCUAACACCAAAAGCCUAUAAGAUUGAGCGUUGGCAGAACAUUGCAAGUGCUUUGUUGAAGGAUAGGCAAUGAGGUAUGUUUAAAAAAAUGGCGAUUAAUAAUUCAGUACGGAAUUGCAUAAUGUUGCUAGUCUGGGGUAAAAGUUUACUGGUUUAGUUUUUUUUAUUUUGAUUUACGUGAUAGGUUAAAUCAUAUUAAAAUUAUUCGUUUAAUAUUCCUUUCCGAUUGGGUGUACAUAAUACACGUGCCCACGGAAAAGAUAUAUUACCCCGCGGAAUAAAAAUAAUGCGUAAAACGCAAAGCAAUAAUAAGCCUUUCCGAUUGGGUUUAUUUAAUACACUAGCCCACGAAAAGGAUAAAAUAACUUGAAGGAAUAAUAAAAAUGCGCAAGAAAAACAAAUGCAGGGUGUUGGGUUUAUAAAUUGCACAUAUAUUUAGCUUGCCGUUCAUAUGCCUUGCAAGAACGGAAAUUUUAUUUUAAGAGGGUUAUUUUAUUCGUGCUGUAAUGAUAUUAACAUUGGUAAGUCUGGAGAUAUGCAAGACAUUUUACUUGUGAACUGUAAAAUGUAUAAGGCGAUAUGUAGAAAGAGAUGGGAGUUUUGGUAAUUAUAAAUGGGUUUAUAUCAACCGUAAAAU
Daphnia carinata is the source of this 1850-nucleotide long non-coding RNA. RefSeq lists it as uncharacterized. Lineage: Eukaryota; Metazoa; Arthropoda; Branchiopoda; Diplostraca; Daphniidae. The transcript has 6 exons. The record is from RefSeq and is a predicted model, not a curated record.